GUGGGGAAUAUUGGGCAAUGGGGGCAACCCUGACCCAGCAACGCCGCGUGAGGGAAGAAGGUUUUCGGAUUGUAAACCUCUGUCCUAUGGGAAGAAGGAAGUGACGGUACCAUAGGAGGAAGCCCCGGCUAACUACGUGCCAGCAGCCGCGGUAAUACGUAGGGGGCGAGCGUUGUCCGGAAUUACUGGGCGUAAAGGGUGCGCAGGUGGCCUGACAAGUCAGAUGUGAAAUACCGAUGCUUAACGUCGGGGCUGCAUUUGAAACUAUGAGGCUGGAGUGCAGGAGAGGGAAGCGGAAGUCCUAGUGUAGCGGUGAAAUGCAUAGAUAUUAGGAGGAACACCAGUGGCGAAGGCGGCUUUCUGGACUGUAACUGACACUGAGGCACGAAAGCGUGGGGAGCAAACAGGAUUAGAUACCCGGGUAGUCC
This 428-nucleotide ribosomal RNA is filed under the name uncultured bacterium. Its description in RNAcentral is "partial 16S ribosomal RNA". It matches the Rfam family "Bacterial small subunit ribosomal RNA", at positions 354 to 796 of the family's 1533-position model. The record is from RNAcentral.